GAAACGGAAGCUAAUACCGCAUUCGCACAGAGAUCGCAUGGUCUCUGUGGAAAGACCGCCUUUGUGCGGUUGCAUCCGGAGGGGUCCGCGGCUGAUUAGCUAGUCGGUGGAGUAACGGCCUACCGAGGCGACGAUCAGUAGCCGGCCUGAGAGGGCGAUCGGCCACACUGGAACUGAGACACGGUCCAGACUCCUACGGGAGGCAGCAGUGGGGAAUAUUGGACAAUGGGCGCAAGCCUGAUCCAGCAACGCCGCGUGGAGGAUGAAGGCCUUCGGGUUGUAAACUCCUGUCAGGUGGAACGAAAGGCUUCAUCUAAUAAAUGAAGUGUAUGACGGUACCACCAGAGGAAGCCCCGGCUAACUCCGUGCCAGCAGCCGCGGUAAUACGGAGGGGGCAAGCGUUAUUCGGAAUUAUUGGGCGUAAAGGGCGCGUAGGCGGUCUUUCAAGUCAGUGGUGAAAUCCCUCGGCUCAACCGAGGAACUGCCUCUGAAACUGAAAGACUUGAGACCGGGAGAGGGUGGUGGAAUUCCCAGUGUAGCGGUGAAAUGCGUAGAUAU
Molecule: ribosomal RNA, 558 nt
Filed under: uncultured bacterium
Lineage: Bacteria
Description: bacterial SSU rRNA
Rfam family: Bacterial small subunit ribosomal RNA
Source: RNAcentral